ACACGGCCCCGGCCUGCGAGACUAGGGACCAUACCUAGGGACCGGCUGAAUUUAAAUGGGCGGCUUAGACUAUGUGGCAGCCCCCGUCGGGGCAGAUGAAAC
This 102-nucleotide ribosomal RNA is filed under the name parazoanthid sp. 'S-Pacific'. RNAcentral describes it as "partial 16S ribosomal RNA". Lineage: Eukaryota; Metazoa; Cnidaria; Anthozoa; Zoantharia; Parazoanthidae. The record is from RNAcentral.